AUCCAGGAAGUAACUCCUGAUGACCGCCCCACAGAUGAUUCAGGAAAACCAUUUGUUCCAAGUGAAGAACAGGUUUCUUAUGCAUCACAAGCAAUCCCUAGUCAAGAAGAAAUGGCAUCUCUACCAGGCGCUACAGUUUCUCCAACCUCAGAUGCCCAAGUUGCCUCGUCAGAAGUUCAGGAAGUCAGUCCUGAUGAUCAACAGGCUGUCGAGUCAACUACUCCAUUGUUUUCAAGUGGAAAGCAAGGUUCUCAUGUCGAAUCUGCUUUUCGACCAGGUGAAGUAGGUGCUGGUGAAAAGAAAUUUGCCCCGUCAGGUAAUUAGUUUCUCUUUUAACAUGAGAAAAAGUAUUGAGAAAAUAUAAUCCUGCUAUUGCUGACAUUUCUUCCUCUAUUUUAGAUCAAGAGUUAUCUCAUUCUGCCGAACAGCCAACCUCCAGUAAACCAAGUAAAGAACAAACGGUUGUUCCCACUGCUGAACAAAUCAAGGAACAGCCAACUAUCAUUGAUCAACAAAACACACCAUACACAAGAGAGCCUCGGACAUCAGAAGAUGCGCUUAAUACUACACCUACCCAUGGCAAUGUUCACCCUGCUGGUAGCACUGAACCAGACAGAAGACCUUUAUCAGUUCAAGGGGAAGAACCGAAAUUUGCAACUCAAGCUCCACCACCUCAUGUGGCCAACGACUCCCUAGACCCUGAAGAUAUAACUACUGACCAAGCGAUGGCACCUAUAAUGAGCCCAUCUGUACCUUCAGUUGCGCCCCUAGGUACCCUACCAGGUGAGGAAAUCUCUAAUUAGCAAAAAUUAAGUCCAUGUAUGCAAUAAGUUUUUCAUUGGCAUGUACAAUUUAUUUGCCUUGCCGGCCAUUUUAAAAAACUCAGGAGUUUCUAUUAUAUAGUUAAAACAGUUUACUUUACAAUUCUUUCAUAUAUAUAGGUAUUCUUUAGCAUUCAAGUUGUGGGCAAAAUCAUUUGCGAAAUCACGUUAAACUCUAUAUAGUCAAUCUUAUAAGAGACUCACUGUCCAGAAUCCUAAGUGGUGAUACCCUUCUCAUGGAACGAUCUGGACCCAGACCAUCUGAGCAAUAGAGCUUAAGUUUUUCAAAUUGAAACCAAUAGUGAAAUCACUGUCUUCAAAUUACAGGUACAAAUUCAGUCCAACCACCACGGCAAGCUUCUAUGCCAUCUACAGUGGACUUAGAAUCUGUUCCAGAAACCCAGCAUGGUAUCCCAGAAGGCGAAGCUACCCCAGCUGAACAGAAAUUUGCUAUAUCUGGUAACACUGUCAUUGUUUCUCUUUAGAAUUAACUAAAGUUCACCUUCUUCCUGGCCAAGAGAAAUAGUUCUGACCAUAUUCUGAGUUCAAUUUCCUUUAUUUCAGAUAAAGAGCCGGCACAUACUUCAGAGCCGCCUUCCUCCGCAGAAUUAAGGAAAGAAGAGGCAAAUGCUGCUGCAGGUGAUCAACCAAAUGUACCACAAGGUCCAGAAACAACCAGUCGACAUCAAGUCAAGUCACCAUCACCAGAUGCAAGAGAAGCUUUACCGAAAGAUCAGCAACCCUCUCAUGCUGUGCUUCCUGAACAAACCACUUAUGCUGUACUUCCUUCUGACUUAUAUGACAGACCUACUCCUGAAGUGGACAGUAGUGUUGUUGAUAAGGAGACAACACUUUUAUCAAGCCAAGCACAAACUUCAGCUGCUGAGCCUGACUUAACACCGAUCAGUGGUGAUGUUUCGCCCACAAGUUCUCUACAGAAUCAAGACGCACAACCUCCUGUAACAACUCAAGCACCUACUACCCAAUCUCUACAAGGUUCUGCACCCACUCAGGAUGAUUCCUUCAGAAAAUUUGACCCACCAAGACAGGCCUCAACCGAUCAAGUCAUGGAACCAGUGACAAGCUCAGCAGCACCUUCAGAUGCUCCACAAGGUACUGAACCAGGUCUGGCAAUCCCUUAUGUACAGGAAUUCACUCCAUCAUGUUACUAAUUUCUCAUUGGUAGGGACUCUUGUUACUCCUUGCGGAAUUAUUUAGAUGAUCCAUGACUUCCGAAACAUUGCAUUUAUUAUUUAGUAUGCAUUUUUUUUGGUUAGUGUCACAUUGUGGACAAAUGCAUAGUUCUGCUGCUACUAAGGUUAUCCAUAACAUGACAGGUCAAGAUUCUGCUCAAUCUGUACAACCCCCUUUCUCUACUGAGCCAACAGAAGACAAUACUGUUGUUACCCCACCUGAUCAAACCAAGGACAUGGAGACAAUAACUCAUCCACAAGCCAUAACACCUGCUCCAGAAACAGCUAAAACUAUAUUCCCAGGAGCAAAUCAAGAAGCGAUGGCGCCUAUAGCUGGCCCAACAUCAAUGGAUCCCCAACUUGCUGGCACCUUAGCGGCUGAAGUAGCCCAUUCUGACCAGAAACCCACUCCAUCAGGUAACUGAUUCAUAUUUAAGUAUUUUCUAAAACAAGAAUUGCUAGCGGACCUAGAGAAGAUUUGCAUCCUGAAACAUUCCUCAAAACUAACAUUUUGCUUCAUGCAUUUUAGAUAAAGGAUCAGCUCGUGCUGCACAACCUGUUUCCCCUGUUGAACAAAAAAAGGCAGACAGUAAUGUUUCUUCAGCUGAUUAUUCUAAUGCGCCGCAAAUGGUUUUUCGGCAACAAGCCAGGCCAUCUGCACCGAGCACAAUAGGAAUUCCAGCCUCAGAUACCCAGGGUGUUAUAGGGAAAAUCCAGGAGGUAACUCCUGAUAAUCGCCGCACCGGUGAUUCAGGAAAACCAUUCGUUCCAAGUAAAGAACAGGUUUCACAUGCAUCACAAGCAAUCCCUGGUCAAGAAGAAAUGGCAUCUCUACCAGGCGCCAUAGUUUCUCCAACCUCAGAUGCCCAAGUUGCCUCGUCAGAAGUUCAGGAAGUCAGUCCUGAUGAUCAACAGGCUGCUUUUGGACCAGGUGAAGUAGGUGCUGCUGAAAAGAAAUUUGCC
RNAcentral lists this long non-coding RNA (2977 nucleotides) under Setaria italica (foxtail millet). RNAcentral's name for it is "long non-coding RNA (SITA_LNC001519)". Lineage: Eukaryota; Viridiplantae; Streptophyta; Magnoliopsida; Poales; Poaceae. The record is from RNAcentral.